GGUCAAGUUAUUAAGGGUGCAGGGCGGAUGCCUUGGCACUAGGAGCCGAUGAAGGACGUGAUAAGCUGCGAUAAGCUUCGGGGAGUUGCACGUAAACUUUGAUCCGAAGAUUUCCGAAUGAGGAAACUCACUUAGAGUAAUGUCUAAGUAUCAUUAAGUGAAUACAUAGCUUAAUGAGGGGAACUCAGGGAACUGAAACAUCUAAGUACCUGAAGGAAGAGAAAGAAAUUCGAUUCCGUAAGUAGCGGCGAGCGAACGCGGAUUAGCCCAAACCAAUAAAGUUUUCUUUAUUGGGGUUGCGGACAUAUCAUAACGAAGAGGUAUCGUAAUUGAAGAGGUUUGGAAAGACCCACCACAGAAGGUAAUAGUCCUGUAUGUUAAACGAGAAGACUUCAGAUAUGAUCCAGAGUACCACGGGACACGUGAAACCCUGUGGGAAGCAGGAGGGACCACCCUCCAAGGCUAAAUACUACCUAGUGACCGAUAGCGUAUAGUACCGUGAGGGAAAGGUGAAAAGAACCCCGGGAGGGGAGUGAAAUAGAACCUGAAACCCUGCACUUACAAGCUGUGGAAGCACAUUUCUUGUGUGACCGCGUACUUUUUGUAGAACGGGCCAACGAGUUACGUUAAGUAGCAAGGUUAAGCACUUAAGGUGCGGAGCCGUAGCGAAAGCGAGUUUUAACUGAGCGUUCAGUUACUUGACGUAGACCCGAAACCGGGCGACCUACCCAUGAGCAGGAUGAAGCGAAAGUAAAAUUUCGUGGAGGUCCGAACCCACGAGCGUUGAAAAGCUCGGGGAUGACUUGUGGGUAGCGGUGAAAUUCCAAUCGAGCCCGGAGAUAGCUGGUUCUCCCCGAAAUAGCUUUAGGGCUAGCCUCAAGGUGAGAGAUACGGAGGUAGAGCACUGAAUGUCCUAGGGGGUAUUGCACCUACCGAAGACUAUCAAACUCCGAAUGCCGUCAUCUUAUACUUGGGAGUCAGACUGUGGGUGAUAAGAUUCAUAGUCGAAAGGGCAACAGCCCAGAUCGUCAGCUAAGGUCCCUAAAUGUAAGUUAAGUGGUAAAGGAUGUGGGAUUGCACAGACAACCAGGAUGUUGGCUUAGAAGCAGCCACUCAUUCAAAGAGUGCGUAAUAGCUCACUGGUCGAGUGAUCCUGCGCCGAAGAUUUCCGGGGCUAAAACUUACUACCGAAGCUACGGCAUCAGUAAUGAUGGGUAGGGGAGCUUCCCAUACGGGUUGAAGCAUGACCGUAAGGACAUGUGGACAGUAUGGGAGUGAGAAUGUUGGCAUGAGUAGCGAGAUGUGGGUGAGAAUCCCACAGGCCGUAAACCCAAGGUUUCCAGGGGAAGGUUCGUCCGCCCUGGGUUAGUCGGGACCUAAGCUGAGGCCGAAAGGCGUAGGUGAUGGACAACAGGUUGAUAUUCCUGUACUACCGAUAACCGUUUGAGAGAAGGGAUGACACAGUAGGAUAAGCUAAGCACACUGUUGGUUAUGUGUGCCCAAGCAUUGAGGCAGUCAAAGUAGGCAAAUCCGCUUUGAUAAUGCUGGGAUGUGAUGGGGAGCGAAAUUUAGUAGCGAAGUAGCUGAUUUCACACUGUCAAGAAAAGUCUCUAUCGAGGUUAAAGGUACCCGUACCGCAAACCGACACAGGUGGGUGAGGAGAGUAUCCUAAGGCCAGCGAGAGAACUGUUGUUAAGGAACUCGGCAAAAUGACCCCGUAACUUAGGGAUAAGGGGUGCCACCAUCAGGUGGCCGCAGAGAAUAGGCCCAAGCGACUGUUUACCAAAAACAUAGGUUUCUGCUAAGUCGCAAGACGAUGUAUAGGAGCUGACGCCUGCCCGGUGCUGGAAGGUUAAGGGGAUCUGUUAGAGCAAUCGAAGCAGUGAACUUAAGCCCCAGUAAACGGCGGCCGUAACUAUAACGGUCCUAAGGUAGCGAAAUUCCUUGUCGGGUAAGUUCCGACCCGCACGAAAGGCGUAACGAUUUGGGCACUGUCUCAACAACAGACUCGGUGAAAUUGUAAUUCCGGUGAAGAUGCCGGAUACCUGCGACAGGACGGAAAGACCCCAUGGAGCUUUACUGUAGCUUGACAUUGGGUCUUGGUACUACAUGUACAGGAUAGGUGGGAGGCUUUGAAACCAGGACGCCAGUUUUGGCGGAGCCAUCCUUGGGAUACCACCCUUGUAGUACUGGGACUCUAACCAUAGGCCAUGAAUCUGGUCUUGGGACACUGUCAGGUGGGCAGUUUGACUGGGGCGGUCGCCUCCCAAAAGGUAACGGAGGCGCUCAAAGGUUCUCUCAGUACGGUCGGAAAUCGUACGUAGAGUGUAAAGGCAAAAGAGAGCUUGAUUGCAAGACAUACAGGUCGAGCAAGGAUGAAAAUCGGACUUAGUGAUCCGGUGGUUCUGCGUGGAAGGGCCAUCGCUCAACGGAUAAAAGCUACCCUGGGGAUAACAGGCUUAUCUCCCCCAAGAGUCCACAUCGACGGGGAGGUUUGGCACCUCGAUGUCGGCUCAUCACAUCCUGGGGCUGUAGUAGGUCCCAAGGGUUGGGCUGUUCGCCCAUUAAAGUGGUACGCGAGCUGGGUUCAGAACGUCGUGAGACAGUUCGGUCCCUAUCCGUCGCAGGCGUAGGAAAUUUGAGAAGACCUGUCCUUAGUACGAGAGGACCGGGAUGGACGUACCUCUGGUGUACCAGUUGUUCUGCCAAGGGCAUGGCUGGGUAGCUAUGUACGGAAUGGAUAAGCGCUGAAAGCAUCUAAGCGCGAAGCCAACUUCAAGAUAAGAUUUCCCACCGCAAGGGUAAGACCCCAGAAAGACUAUCUGGUUGAUAGGUCGAAGGUGUAAGUGCAGCAAUGUAUUUAGCUUAUCGAUACUAAUAGGUCGAGGACUUGACCAA
RNAcentral lists this ribosomal RNA (2898 nucleotides) under Clostridioides difficile. RNAcentral's name for it is "23S ribosomal RNA". It matches the Rfam family "Bacterial large subunit ribosomal RNA". RNAcentral also lists the same sequence under 1 other name. The record is from RNAcentral. Lineage: Bacteria; Bacillati; Bacillota; Clostridia; Peptostreptococcales; Peptostreptococcaceae.